This 21-nucleotide microRNA is filed under the name Corchorus capsularis. Its description in RNAcentral is "sRNA CCACVL1_22041". The record is from RNAcentral. Lineage: Eukaryota; Viridiplantae; Streptophyta; Magnoliopsida; Malvales; Malvaceae.
CCAUGCUCAGCCUGUUCCCUG